GCCGAGCUAAGUGACUCUUGCUUGUAACCCAAGUGGGGGCACCAAGGUGGUGGGACAUCGGUUCGAUCCAUUUGGCAGGACUUGAUGUUGCAAUUUGCUGGCUCGCCCGUUCCAAGUUGAGAGUUGGGCCCUGUGGUUCGGGCUUAAGCUUGGGCCGUGGCCCUUAGAGCGGAGGGCAAUGCGUGAGGCUGGUUUCACAGAGCAGCGAAAACCUCCCGCUCUCAACAGUGGAAGGAUGACGUGUCGGUGCACCGCUAGCCCAGAUUGUCUCAUGGGUUGAAACCAGUUGAACCACCACCUUU
Molecule: signal recognition particle RNA, 302 nt
Filed under: Malus domestica (apple)
Lineage: Eukaryota; Viridiplantae; Streptophyta; Magnoliopsida; Rosales; Rosaceae
Description: sRNA MD06G0117400
Rfam family: Plant signal recognition particle RNA
Source: RNAcentral